AUUGAACGCUGGCGGCCGGCCUAACACAUGCAAGUCGAACGAGUGGCGGACGGGUGAGUAAUGUCUGGGACACUGCCUGAUGGAGGGGGAUAAUUACUGGAAACGGUAGCUAAUACCGCAUACCAUCGGAUGUUCACAGAUGGGAUUAGCUAGUAGGUGGGGUAAAGGCUCACCUAGGCGACGAUCCCCAGCUGGUCUGAGAGGGUGACCGGCCACACUGGAACUGAGACACGGUCCAGACUCCUACGGGAGGCAGCAGUGGGGAAUAUUGCACAAUGGGCGCAAGCCUGAUGCAGCCAUGCCGCGUGUGUGAAGAAGGCCUUCGGGUUGUAAAGUACUGUCAGCGGGGAGGCGUUACCCGCAGAGGAAGCACCGGCUAACUCCGUGCCAGCAGCCGCGGUAAUAC
This 406-nucleotide ribosomal RNA is filed under the name uncultured bacterium. RNAcentral describes it as "partial 16S ribosomal RNA". It matches the Rfam family "Bacterial small subunit ribosomal RNA", at positions 30 to 526 of the family's 1533-position model. The record is from RNAcentral.